GAGAAGGAAGACCACGAUGUGCAUGACAGUACAGUCGUUUCCAACGUUUACUGCUGGCUGAUGAGUGUGAACUGUUAGGUCUCUGUUGGGCUUGCUGUGGAUCAAGGAGCUCCCCAAAUCUAUGCAUUAAUCAAGAUCAGAUAAUACCAAUCUACCUUUCUGUUUUGUUCAUCAUGGACAAGCCUAUAUAAUCCAAAGCCAAGGCGAACAGC
This is a long non-coding RNA of Stylophora pistillata, 212 nucleotides long. RefSeq lists it as uncharacterized. The record is from RefSeq and is a predicted model, not a curated record. NCBI's taxonomy places the organism in Eukaryota, Metazoa, Cnidaria, Anthozoa, Scleractinia, Pocilloporidae.